CACGUAGGCACCAAGCGUUGUCCGGAUUUAUUGGGCGUAAAGAGCUCGUAGGCGGUCUGUCGCGUCUGCUGUGAAAACUCAGGGCUUAACCCUGAGCUUGCAGUGGGUACGGGCAGACUAGAGUGCGGUAGGGGAGACUGGAAUUCCUGGUGUAGCGGUGAAAUGCGCAGAUAUCAGGAGGAACACCGGUGGCGAAGGCGGGUCUCUGGGCCGUAACUGACGCUGAGGAGUGAAAGCAUGGGGAGCGAACAGG
RNAcentral lists this ribosomal RNA (253 nucleotides) under uncultured bacterium. RNAcentral's name for it is "partial 16S ribosomal RNA". It matches the Rfam family "Bacterial small subunit ribosomal RNA", at positions 524 to 776 of the family's 1533-position model. The record is from RNAcentral.